ACCUAACAUUUAAGGAAUACAAUGUUUCAAGUGUUUGUGAUACAGUUUCACUUGAAGUUGACACACGCUCAAAAUAUAUAUUUUAUACAAAGAAAACAAUUUAUGAUUGCAGCUAUAAACCGUUUGUUGGCCAAUAGCGGACAGAUGGGAAAGAUAUACACGCCUUCGGGUCACCGGUCACCAGAAACUCAACGGAGGACGUCGCCUUUCGAAUAGUUUUAGAAAUUACAACUUACGAUCUCCCGGAUAUCGUGUUUCCGCACAGAAAAAUGUCCAUCACCGAGGGUACAAUUGCUUCCGCGGUUAUAGGUGUGGUAGGGUUUAUCAUCAUCAUCAGUGUGACGGCAUUCAUUGUGGCACUGGCCAGAACGAAUAAAGACUUAAAGCAGCCCCGAAAUGAAGAGCGAAAUGAUCCUGGAUUGGACUCUGGGGCUUCGGGAGAUAUGAUGUUAUAACACAUUGAUUGGCAAAGAAAGAGAGUCACAAAGCUUCCUUGGGAGUGGUUGGCUGACCAGCACGUACAGUAUUAAUCGGGGACUUACCCAAAAAGAUGGACCUAAAGAAGUUGUGACCGGAAUUAGUCGCCGUGAAAGUCUGAUCACCCAUACACAUGGUGUCUCCUUACUUCUGGGCCUGCCGAAUCCCUUGGGUGCCCUGUCUCUAGGGUGAUAAAAAUGCCGGUUAAUACCCUCUGGCGAUAGUCCUAUGAUCCAGAGCAAGUACCUAGGUGGACAGCAACGUCACCAAUACCUGUUCAUUGGGUUGGCAAAAGAAAUGCUGAAGUAACGGAUCACAGACAUGCUACUUCCAUGCCAAGUACGCGGAAGUGCGCUUGGGCGUUUACUUCCUUGUAGGGCACGAUUCCAGAACACAAACACCUGAUUCGGCUCUUUUGGGUCGUAUCUUUCAGGGAAUUAAACAGGGAAGUGUGAUACACGCACUAUCUUUGAUGAACACCUUUUGCACCUGUGCCUAAUUACGACGCAAUCACAAUGCAGCCUUACGUUGGUGACCGUUGCAUCGACAGGACCGGCGGGAAGAUCACUUGUAAUAUAUACAGUUGGUCAGUGCAAUGAUGUAUUCUCUCUAGUCUUGGCGGAGCUAGUGCCGAUUUCUCACAUACAAUUGAUGUUUUAACCUUUUGCACUAUCACGAGAAUUGACUUAAAUUCAGCCCAUUGUAUUUCCACACGGUUUCUCUAUAUGUAAUGUACAAGCAAAUUGUUAAAAACUUGUUUCUGGGACUAUGUACGCAUGUUCAAGAACACCCUUGUCUUACUGGAUUACUCUGGCCAUCUCCAUCAGACACGUUUGUGAAAAUUGCGUAAAACUAUCAUCAUUCAGGAAAUACCAUCUGUUAAAAACCACCGGUAAUUCAUAUGUCUGAAGACAUAUUCCAUGAACCAGGUGCUUUCGUGUUUCUCUAGUUUCUCCUCGGCUAGAAGUAGCCAAAACUACAGAUGAUGUUUCAGAUUAAUCAGCAUUUAGUACUAAUGAACAGAAGUGUAUGCCCCCAGAGCCCCUGACUUGUCAGUCAUGUGGCCCAUUCAAUACUUUACAUUACUGUAGUUAAAAGAUAAACUCAUUAUGACAAUUAUGUUAUCAUCAGAAAAAUUUAACAACAAAAAUAUAUAAAUGUAAGACAAGCGGAGACCUUGGCAUUCCCGGAAUUUCUCAGUAAUCGUAUGAGGAGUUGUAUCAAAGUAUUAGAGGGUAUAAAUGUAAUUGCACAAAGCCACGUUAUACUGAUAUCUUCGCUUCGGCGUUGAGACUUGUUAAGUUGGUUAAGGCCACUACAUGUUCUAAGCUGCGAGGAAGUGAUAAAAACCAUAGUCUAUGUGAUGGGUUUAGGCAGAAAGAGCUGGAGUUCGGUUAUCCAAUCGCUGAAGGUAUGUGACCAUCAGUGCACGCACCGACACAACUGACUGGAACGGGGCUGAAAACUGCUAUAAUACUUUUGCUUAUUCUUGAAGAAAUCAAAGCAAACAAAAACAGUUAUAAUGCUGUUUGUGCAUAUUUGUAAAUUUUUUUGUACAUUUCAGCGCCACAUAAUCCUUGGCUCCAAGAGUUGUAGCAAAGUUUUACCUUUGUUCUUUUUUAAAAUGUCAAAAUAAUACGAAACGGACGGAUGCAAUACUGUUGUAAUGUGAGUCAGACAUCAAUUGUACAUAAUGUAAAUAUUGUUUAUUGCACUGUUGAAGUUUUUACCUUUUCCAAUUUCAAAUAUGCAUGACUCUUAAACUUUAAUAUUUACAUAUUUAAUAUUUACUGUAUGCAAAUUGUUACUUUCAUCGUUCCCAUAUGAACAGUGAAUGGUUUCUAUAAUGUUUCUAUGUAACCCUGUGUUUCGGGUUGACUGGCUCGUUGGGUGAUACAUCAUGUUCUUCAUUCCACCCUUGAUUUGUAUUCUUUCUCUGUUAAUUCAUGCACACAGACAGCUGUAGUUUGGA
Long non-coding RNA from Liolophura sinensis, 2449 nucleotides. RefSeq lists it as uncharacterized. The record is from RefSeq and is a predicted model, not a curated record. Lineage: Eukaryota; Metazoa; Mollusca; Polyplacophora; Chitonida; Chitonidae. The transcript has 5 exons.